Molecule: long non-coding RNA, 3605 nt
Organism: Amphiprion ocellaris (clown anemonefish)
Lineage: Eukaryota; Metazoa; Chordata; Actinopteri; Pomacentridae
Source: Ensembl
GGUGAUAGUAGGCGUUGAGUAGUGAGUACAGGUUGAGUUAUUCAGUGUGACAAGAAAAGACAAGAAAGUGAAGGUAGCAACAUGAGUCCCAAGGAUGCCCUGUUUCUCAUUCUGUCCAUUGUUGCUGCUGCAGUGGGGUCUGUGAGUGGCAGCUCAGAGGUGAAGGAGAGCACUGUUCCUUAUUCCUGCUGUGGAAGCCUGGAGUUGAAGUUCAAUCCACACUGUGAAAACACCUGGAGUGUCAAUGACAAGACCAUUGCUUACUCUGAUGAUGUGAACAAUGACUGCGCACCACCAUGUAGAAAGAUCGGAGAUGGACUGAUGACCCUGGAUACAUGUGUGGAUGUGAACGUUACCAUAAGAUGCGAUGAUAGUAUGAAGAUGACUGUGGAGGAAAGAAUCCACUAUCAAAGCCAAAUGUGCUCUGCUGUUCCAAACAGGAUGGCACCUGGAAAUCAGAGCACCAUUUGGCUGCUACUGCUGGCCGUGGUGAUCGCUGGAUGGAUGUGAUUCCCUGCUGUAGGCAGCUUUUUCAUAGGCAGGCAUCUCUCCUUUUGCUUGCUCAUGUCAUCUGCACUUUACACAAAUCUAUCUCACCAUGUAACGCCUUUCCUAACAUUCGUUUUUCUUUUAUACGCGCUGAGAAAACUUUUAUACUAUUUUACACAUUAGUUGUAAAAAAAGGCAUUAUGCUUUCAAAGGCUUUACUGUUUCUUUAUCCGAGGGCUGUACUACAACCGCAAUACUUACAAGCUGUAACUUUUAAGGAAUUGGCCAUUGUUUAAGAUACGCCACGUAUUUUUUGGCAGUGACUAAAUGUUCUCAAGACAUUCUUUUUUUCUGACAGUUGCAUUUUUUUCAUUCCCUCAAAACUCCUGAAAUUUAAAAUGCACAAUUAUGCAGUCAGAAGCACUUACAAGUAGUUUUAAAAUGUGAAACGUCAGUAUUCUAAGCUACAGCACUUGGUACAUACAGCCCUGAGUUUUGAGAGGUGGUAUUUAUUUUUAACUGGAUUUUAGCAAUUGAGAAGUAACAUCAGAAGUAUUUUUAGUGGCAUAAUUGAUUGUAGGUAGCAGGAAAAGUGGUAAUAGGCCAAUUUCAUGUUUACAAGUCAGCACUGUUAGGUGCUAAGGUGUCAUGUUUAGUGCUGACUACUUUGCACUGUAAAAUGUCCCACUGACACAUAUCGUAUGUUGGUUCCAAGGUUUUUAAAGGGUUUGUGGGAAAAAAAUAUUGUAAUAAGCUACAUUACUGGAUGUCAAACAGUAGCUGGUAUUAGUAUGACUACACUGAAUAUACUUGAAGAAAGGUCAGAGAUUGUCAGAGCAGGAAAGAGCAUCUUAGUGACCUUUAUUGACAAAUACAUGCUGCUUUAAUGCUGGAAGACCAGGUAGUAUUAGUUCUGUAUCAACACCAAAGCACAAAUCAGAUGUCAAAGCUGUAUGCCUUUUACCACUAAUAACUAAUAAUUAUUAACUGAGGUGCUGAUGGAUGUUAAACUACUUUCUUUGAACUUUUGCAUCAAAGCUGAAAGCACUGGUCAAUGAAUUAGUAGGCUGACAGAAAACAUUUUUAAAAAUAAUUCUUCCAAAAAUUCACUUUAUGCUUUAAUGUCUGUCUGCUGAGAUAUAACAAGCAACAUAUCCAGCUUGUGCUUUGUGAAACUUGAAUUUUGUUGGCUAAAAAUCUUCAGAUGCAAUUGGUCGACCAAACAUUAAUAAUUUUCAUAACUGCUUAAUCAUUUCAGCCAUUUUUGUCGACACAUAUUUGCUGCAUUACUUUGUAUCCUAUGACUGUAAACUGACUGAGUUUCGAACUAUUUGUCUGACAAAAUAUUGGGAAAAUGUGAUGGAGAUUUCUACUUUUCUGAUAUUUAACAAACAGACAAAUUGGCUAGACAAAUGAAUAAUGGAUGGGAUUAACACUGGAAAAAAUGCUAGUGGCAGCCAAUUUUGGGUAACAAUUUUAGGAAUUUCAUAAAUGAUUUAAGCUAUUUUGUGAAAGGCUUAAAGCUCUUUUUUUUUUCCCUUACUGUAAAAACGUUUCUGAACAUGCUAUUCAAAGAGGCCAAAAUGGGCAUUUUUCAAACUAUUUUUUACAGUUUAUUGACUAAACAGUUCAGAAAAAAUGACAGAUUGAUAUGAAAUUCACCUUUUGACUUGUUGCUGGUGCUUUAGGUACUUGGUCAAAAGUCGACACUAAUAACUGGUAGAAUAAUGACCAAAAACAUUAACUGAACACAAGGUACUCAAAUACAGCUCUUAUACUACUAAGUUGUGUUGGGUUUGGAACCUGUUUGUAGUGCGUGUACAUGCUUCAUUAUAUAUAAUAUACUAAUUGUGUAAAUAGGCCAAACUAAAUAAGCUAUUUCCGUUUUUCUAAAGGUAUGGAAGUAAAACUCUGUGCUCUUUCAAAAAUGUUUUCUGCUAAGCCAAGUUAUGGAGCCUGACAAAGUGAUUAUGACUUUUUUAGUUACUUUACAUUACUUGAAUUUGCCAAUCUGUCAGUUUAUAACCAUAUAAACAAUGCAAAUAAUUGAAGCGUUUGACAGCACUGCCUGUACAAUUUAACGUAUUUAUCGAAUAGCCAACACAAUGCAUCUCUUUAUAACCAAAUUUCACAUAUGUUUCACUCAUGUCUCAGGAUUUAGGUCUUUCAACUGAUUUUAACUCAAUUUUUUAAUUAAAAGAAUGAAUGAUUGAACGAAUGAAUUUAGUUAGUCUUCUUCUAAUUUUAGUCUUUGAAUGAAAUCAGAUGAUUUGGUUCAGAAACUCAGCUUUUAAUUCAGGAAUUAAAGCUCUAAUGAUGCUCUUUCUCGUCCUCAUGAUUAUCUCUGAUCUUUUCCAAUCACUAAAGUCAGGCAUUAAGUAAGGUGGCAUUUAUAAACAUUCACUAAUUUACUAGAGUUGACCCUAGUAUAAAGAGUAACAGAUCUCAUAAUCUGACAGUAAAUCUUAAGAAUUACCCUGACUGAAAUACAAACAUUUCACAAACAGAGCCAGCUAUGAACAUAUCUACAGCUUACAGCAUUACUAUACAAAUGACUGAAAGAGUCAUGCGGGAAGGGUGGGUGGGGGGUGGACUGAGCCAAUUAUACAAUUUUACCUUCAUUUUUUUAUACCUCAUCCUAACAUAAUAUAUUCCCUGCUAUCGUGUCAUUGCCAUGUAUUUAUUUAUUUUGUCCAAUAAUGACCAAAGUGCACAUCAGCUGAAACUCUCAGCACAUUUAAGUCCAGUCUGAAGACCUACCUGUUCUCAGCUGCUUUUGACUAAGUUCUUCUAAGAGUUAUUUUAAAUCUUAUUUUAUGACAAACUCUGCAGUGUAACUUUUAAAAUGUCCUUGCUUCCCAACUUUUGUUUUUGAUUCUUUUACUUUUCUGCAUCCUUAAAUUUUAAUGACCCUUUUAAUGAUUUUAUAAAUGUUUUCUUUCUUUUUAUAAUUGUGUUUUCAUCUGCUGUUUUAAUGUCCUUGUGAAGCACUUUGAAUCACCUUGUUGUUGAAAUGUGCUAUAUAAAUAAACUAACUUUAACUUUAACAUGUGCAAUUCUACUUGUAUUGCUGCUCUCACAUCUUCUGUCAAAAAAAAUAAUAAUAAUUUGUUGAU